Molecule: ribosomal RNA, 468 nt
Filed under: uncultured bacterium
Lineage: Bacteria
Description: partial 16S ribosomal RNA
Rfam family: Bacterial small subunit ribosomal RNA
Source: RNAcentral
GACGAACGCUGGCGGCGUGCUUAACACAUGCAAGUCGAACGGAAAGGCCCUGCUUUUGUGGGGUGCUCGAGUGGCGAACGGGUGAGUAACACGUGAGUAACCUGCCCUUGACUUUGGGAUAACUUCAGGAAACUGGGGCUAAUACCGGCUAGGAGCUCCUUCUGCAUGGUGGGGGUUGGAAAGUUUCGGCGGUUGGGGAUGGACUCGCGGCUUAUCAGCUUGUUGGUGGGGUAGUGGCUUACCAAGGCUUUGACGGGUAGCCGGCCUGAGAGGGUGACCGGCCACAUUGGGACUGAGAUACGGCCCAGACUCCUACGGGAGGCAGCAGUGGGGAAUAUUGCACAAUGGGCGGAAGCCUGAUGCAGCAACGCCGCGUGCGGGAUGACGGCCUUCGGGUUGUAAACCGCUUUCGCCUGUGACGAAGCGUGAGUGACGGUAAUGGGUAAAGAAGCACCGGCUAACUACGUG